Molecule: ribosomal RNA, 301 nt
Filed under: uncultured bacterium
Lineage: Bacteria
Description: partial 16S ribosomal RNA
Rfam family: Bacterial small subunit ribosomal RNA
Source: RNAcentral
CAGUCGCCGCGGGAAUACAGAGGGUGCAAGCGUUAAUCGGAAUUACUGGGCGUAAAGCGCGCGUAGGUGGUUUGUUAAGUUGGAUGCGAAAUCCCCGGGCCCAACCUGGGAACUGCAUUCAAAACUGACUGACUAGAGUAUGGUAGAGGGUGGUGGAAUUUCCUGUGUAGCGGUGAAAUGCGUAGAUAUAGGAAGGAACACCAGUGGCGAAGGCGACCACCUGGACUAAUACUGACACUGAGGUGCGAAAGCGUGGGGAGCAAACAGGAUUAGAUACCCCCGUAGUCCCUGUCUCUUAUAC